CGGGAGGCAGCAGUGAGGAAUAUUGGUCAAUGGUCGGAAGACUGAACCAGCCAUGCCGCGUGCAGGAAGAAUGCCUUAUGGGUUGUAAACUGCUUUUAUAUGGGAAGAAUAAGGUGUACGUGUACAUUGAUGACGGUACCAUAUGAAUAAGCAUCGGCUAACUCCGUGCCAGCAGCCGCGGUAAUACGGAGGAUGCGAGCGUUAUUCGGAAUCAUUGGGUUUAAAGGGUCUGUAGGCGGGCUAUUAAGUCAGGGGUGAAAGGUUUCAGCUUAACUGAGAAAUUGCCUUUGAUACUGGUAGUCUUGAAUAUCUGUGAAGUUCUUGGAAUGUGUAGUGUAGCGGUGAAAUGCUUA
This 353-nucleotide ribosomal RNA is filed under the name Capnocytophaga gingivalis. RNAcentral's name for it is "bacterial SSU rRNA". It matches the Rfam family "Bacterial small subunit ribosomal RNA", at positions 342 to 692 of the family's 1533-position model. The record is from RNAcentral. Lineage: Bacteria; Pseudomonadati; Bacteroidota; Flavobacteriia; Flavobacteriales; Flavobacteriaceae.